AUCACCCAGAGAUCUUGUUAAAAUGCAGAUUCUCAUCCAAUAAAUCUGGGGUGGGACCCAGAUCCUACAUUUCUAACAAGUUUUCAAGUGAUGUCCA
Molecule: microRNA precursor, 97 nt
Filed under: Camelus bactrianus (Bactrian camel)
Lineage: Eukaryota; Metazoa; Chordata; Mammalia; Artiodactyla; Camelidae
Also listed under: 2 other names
Description: mir-544 microRNA precursor family
Rfam family: mir-544 microRNA precursor family
Source: Rfam by way of RNAcentral